RNAcentral lists this ribosomal RNA (554 nucleotides) under Beauveria bassiana. RNAcentral describes it as "eukaryotic LSU rRNA". The stretch from base 178 to 331 matches the Rfam family "5.8S ribosomal RNA". Lineage: Eukaryota; Fungi; Ascomycota; Sordariomycetes; Hypocreales; Cordycipitaceae. The record is from RNAcentral.
GCGGAGGGAUCAUUACCGAGUUUUCAACUCCCUAACCCUUCUGUGAACCUACCUAUCGUUGCUUCGGCGGACUCGCCCCAGCCCGGACGCGGACUGGACCAGCGGCCCGCCGGGGACCUCAAACUCUUGUAUUCCAGCAUCUUCUGAAUACGCCGCAAGGCAAAACAAAUGAAUCAAAACUUUCAACAACGGAUCUCUUGGCUCUGGCAUCGAUGAAGAACGCAGCGAAACGCGAUAAGUAAUGUGAAUUGCAGAAUCCAGUGAAUCAUCGAAUCUUUGAACGCACAUUGCGCCCGCCAGCAUUCUGGCGGGCAUGCCUGUUCGAGCGUCAUUUCAACCCUCGACCUCCCCUUGGGGGGGUCGGCGUUGGGGACCGGCAGCACACCGCCGGCCCUGAAAUGGAGUGGCGGCCCGUCCGCGGCGACCUCUGCGCAGUAAUACAGCUCGCACCGGAACCCCGACGCGGCCACGCCGUAAAACACCCAACUUCUGAACGUUGACCUCGAAUCAGGUAGGACUACCCGCUGAACUUAAGCAUAUCAAUAAGCGGAGGA